CUAGCUGCCUCUAAACCCAAUAACUGUGGAGAAUGAAGCUAGUGGAUCUCUUCAUCUCAGGAGUUCUGAACUGCAGUGGGCUAUGCCAAUCAGGUGUCCACACUGUUUGGUAUCAGCAUGGCAAGCCCCAGGUUUGAUGGUCAUGAGGUUGCCUAAGGAGGGGCAAAUGAGCCCAGGUCGGAAACAAAGCAGGUAAACGCCCCUGUGUCUCUCAGCAGUAGGCAGCCCUUGAAUUUCUAGCCUGGUCAAGAUUGAGAUAGCCAGUCUUU
Molecule: small RNA, 269 nt
Filed under: Phascolarctos cinereus (koala)
Lineage: Eukaryota; Metazoa; Chordata; Mammalia; Diprotodontia; Phascolarctidae
Description: Metazoan signal recognition particle RNA (ENSPCIG00000005867.2)
Source: RNAcentral